CCAUCCAGCCAUCUUCAUUUGAGCUCUUCAGCUUUGUACCCAUUAGAAAGCUAGGAGCUGACACCAAAUUUGCUCCCAUUGGUCUAACCAACAUGUUUAACAGUGGCGGCACAAUUCAAGAAUUUGGAUAUAUUAUGUCAGCAGCUGAGAUUAGCGUGAAGGUUAAAGUUAAAGGUGGAGGAAAUUUCUUGGCCUACUCGAAUGUGUCCCCAAAGAAGUGUUUCUUGAAUGAUGCUGAAGUUGCCUUUGAGUGGUUUUGUGAUGGCAAACUGACCUUGAGUCUGCCUUGGAACGAAGAUGCUGGUGGUGUAUCUGAUGUCUCAUUUAUGUUUUGAUCAAAGAAUCUAAUUGUCCCCUUGUUUAGAGUGCAUAGUAGCCACGGUGAUGAAAGUUAAAUGCCGUGGCAAACAACU
This 413-nucleotide unclassified non-coding RNA is filed under the name Hevea brasiliensis (rubber tree). Lineage: Eukaryota; Viridiplantae; Streptophyta; Magnoliopsida; Malpighiales; Euphorbiaceae. The record is from RNAcentral.